This 253-nucleotide ribosomal RNA is filed under the name uncultured bacterium. RNAcentral describes it as "partial 16S ribosomal RNA". It matches the Rfam family "Bacterial small subunit ribosomal RNA", at positions 524 to 776 of the family's 1533-position model. The record is from RNAcentral.
UACGUAGGGACCGAGCGUUGUCCGGAAUCAUUGGGCGUAAAGAGCGUGUAGGCGGCUAUUUAAGUCCUGCGUGAAAUCCUGCGGCUCAACCGCAGACGGUCGUGGGAAACUGGAUGGCUAGAGUGCGGGAGAGGAGAGUGGAAUUCCCGGUGUAGCGGUGAAAUGCGCAGAUAUCGGGAAGAACACCCGUGGCUAAGGCGGCUCUCUAGUACGGUACUGACGCUGAGACGCGAAAGCGUGGGGAGCGAACAGG